AACACAAUAAAGUACCCCGCCUGGGGAGUACGAUCGCAAGAUUAAAACCCAAAGGAAUUGACGGGGGCCCGCACAAGCAGCGGAGCAUGCGGUUUAAUUAGAAGCAAUGCGAAGAACCUUACCUGGACUUGACAUCGUCUGAAUAUCUAAGAGAUUAGAGAAACCCUUCGGGGCAGAUAGACAGGUGGUGCAUGGUUGUCGUCAGCUCGUGUCGUGAGAUGUUAGGUUAAGUCGAUGCAACGAGCGCAACCCUUAUCAUUAGUUGCUACCAUUAAGUUGAGCACUCUAAUGAGACUGCCCGGGUUAACCGGGAGGAAGGUGGGGAUGACGUCAAAUCAUCAUGCCCCUUAUGUCCAGGGCUACACACGUGCUACAAUGGUGAGUACAAUUAGAUGCAAACCCGCGAGGGGGAGCCAAACUAAAAAACUCAUCCCAGUUCGGAUUGCAGGCUGCAACUCGCCUGCAUGAAGCCGGAGUUGCUAGUAAUCGCGAAUCAGCAUGUCGCGGUGAAUACGUUCCCGGGCCUUGUACACACCGCCCGUCACACCAUGAGAGUUGGCAACACCCGAAGUCCGUGAGUUAACCGUAAUGGUUGUCUGCACCGAAGGUGGGGUCAAUGAUUGGGGUG
This 628-nucleotide ribosomal RNA is filed under the name uncultured bacterium. RNAcentral describes it as "bacterial SSU rRNA". It matches the Rfam family "Bacterial small subunit ribosomal RNA", at positions 854 to 1482 of the family's 1533-position model. The record is from RNAcentral.